Molecule: small nuclear RNA, 325 nt
Filed under: Prolemur simus (greater bamboo lemur)
Lineage: Eukaryota; Metazoa; Chordata; Mammalia; Primates; Lemuridae
Description: 7SK RNA (ENSPSMG00000010560.1)
Rfam family: 7SK RNA
About the family: 7SK was discovered as an abundant small nuclear RNA in the mid-70s but a possible function has only recently been suggested. Two independent studies have found that 7SK RNA binds the CDK9/cyclin T complex (known as elongation factor P-TEFb). P-TEFb activates transcription by phosphorylating the C-terminal domain of RNA polymerase II.
Source: Rfam by way of RNAcentral
GGAUGUGAGGGUGAUCUGGCUGUGAUAUGUGUCGCCUCCUUGAUCGCUAGGGUUGAUUCAACUGAUCUGGCUGGCUAGGUGGGUGUCCCCCUCCUCCUUCACUGUUCCAUGUGCAUCCCUCCCAAAGCUGUACACUCAGUUGAGGACGCCCUUCCCCAGUAGAGAACUGUUCUUUGGUCAAGGGUAUACGAGUAGCUGUGUUCCCUCCUACAACCUCCAAACAAGCUCACAAAGUGUGAUUAUAUAUAAUUACACACACACACUCCCUAUGGAGUACUUCUCAGCCAUAAAAAGGAACUAAAUAAUGCCUUUUGCAGCAACUUGG